CCUACGGGAGGCAACAGUAAGGAAUAUUGGUCAAUGGGCGCAAGCCUGAACCAGCCAUGCCGCGUGCAGGAAGACGGCCCUAUGGGUUGUAAACUGCUUUUGAACAAGAGAAAACCUCGGUACGUGUACCGAGCUGAUAGUAUUGUUAGAAUAAGCAUCGGCUAACUUCGUGCCAGCAGCCGCGGUAAGACGAAGGAUGCAAGCGUUAUCCGGAUUCAUUGGGUUUAAAGGGUGCGUAGGCGGCCUGAUAAGUCAGUGGUGAAAUCUCUCAGCUUAACUGAGAAACUGCCAUUGAUACUGUCGGGCUUGAGUACAGAUGAUGUGGGCGGAAUAUGACAUGUAGUGGUGAAAUACUUAGAUAUGUCAUAGAACACCGAUUGCGAAGGCAGCUCACAAAACUGUAACUGACGCUGAGGCACGAAAGUGCGGGGAUCAAACAGGAUUAGAUACCCUGGUAGUCCGCACCGUAAACGAUGAUUACUCGUUGUUGGCAAUAUGACCGUCAGCGACCAAGCGAAAGCGAUAAGUAAUCCACCUUGGGGAGUUACGCCGGCAACGGUUGAACGUUAAGGAAUUGACGGCGNGAGAGNGCGAGGACGACGACGAGGAGGAGG
This 614-nucleotide ribosomal RNA is filed under the name uncultured bacterium. RNAcentral's name for it is "bacterial SSU rRNA". It matches the Rfam family "Bacterial small subunit ribosomal RNA", at positions 338 to 956 of the family's 1533-position model. The record is from RNAcentral.